ACUACUGCUCUAAUAACACUGACCAACCCAAGGUAAUAUACUACUGCUCUAAUAACACUGACCAACCCAAGGUAAUAUACUACUGCUCUAAUAACACUGACCACCCCAAGGUAAUAUACUACUGCUCUAAUAACACUGACCACCCCAAGGUAAUAUACUACUGCUCUAAUAACACUGACCACCCCAAGGUAAUACACUACUGCUCUAAUAACACUGACCACCCCAAGGUAAUAUACUACUGCUCUAAUAACACUGACCACAGUGUAAGGAGUAGGACUGAUUCUCUGUGUUGUUCAUACUCUAGGUUCUCCACACUCAACUGGUGAACCAGCACUGACCACCGAGUAAGAGAUGAUAACUACUAUGACAAUAAGGCUCCAAUUUUCAGUGCAUUCAACCUCUAUCCCUACAGGUUAUUGUCAUUGAUGGUGGUAUUCAACAAAGUUGAAUUAAGCUGAAUAAUGUCAGUAUAUUAUUUAGGAUUGUGAUGUUCUGUGAUAUGACUAUUUAACCCUGUAGGUACUGGUAUUAACCAUGAUAUCUGACUGUUUUUAACCCUGUAGGUACUGGUAUUAACCAUGAUAUCUGACUGUUGUUAACCCUGUAGGUACUGGUAUUAACCAUGAUAUCUGACUGUUAUUAACCCUGUAGGUACUGGUAUUAACCAUGAUAUCUGAU
Oncorhynchus tshawytscha (Chinook salmon) is the source of this 678-nucleotide long non-coding RNA. Lineage: Eukaryota; Metazoa; Chordata; Actinopteri; Salmoniformes; Salmonidae. The record is from Ensembl.